This is a long non-coding RNA of Globicephala melas (long-finned pilot whale), 4569 nucleotides long. RefSeq lists it as uncharacterized. Lineage: Eukaryota; Metazoa; Chordata; Mammalia; Artiodactyla; Delphinidae. The record is from RefSeq and is a predicted model, not a curated record.
UACUGCCUUUACCAAUCAGCUUUUACCAUUCAUAAUUUUCAUGUUUCUAGUUGUGGCUUUUUCUUUUUCGCUUAGAGAAGUCCCUUAACAUUUCUUGUAAAGUUGGUUUGGUGGUGCUGAACUCUUUUUAUCUUUUGCUGAACUCUUUUUAUCUUUUGCUUGUCUGUGUAACUUUUUUUUUUUUUUGGCGGUACGCGGGCCUCUCGCUGUUGUGGCCUCUCCCGUGGUGGAGCACAGGCUCUGGACGCACAGGCUCAGCAGCCAUGGCUCACGGGCCCAGCCGCACCACGGCAUGUGGGAUCUUCCCGGACCAGGGCACGAACCUGUGUCCCCUGCAUUGGCAGGCGGACUCUCAACCACUGUGCCACCAGGGAAGCCCUGCUUGUCUGUGUAACUUUUGAUCUCUACAUCAAAUCUGAAUGAAAGCCUUGCUGGGUAGAGUGCUCUUCAUUAUAGGUUUUUUCCCUUUCAUCCUUUUAAAUAUAUUAUGCCACUCCCUUCUGGCAUGCAGAGUUUCUGCUGAAAAGUCAGCUGAUAGCCUUAUGGGAGUUCCCUGGUACAUAAGUUGUUUCAUUUUCCUUUUAAUAUUCUCUUUAUUUUUAAUUUUUACCAUUUUAAUCACAAUGUGUCUUGGUAUGAUCCUCUUUGGUUUGGUCCUGUGCUUCUUGAAGGUGGACGUCUAUUUCCUUUCCCAAGUUAAGCAAGUUUUUAGCUACUAUGUCUUCAGAUAUGUUCUCCGCCCCUUUCUCUCUCUCUCUCCCCCCUCCUUCUGGGAGUCCUAUAAUGCAAAUGUUAGCAUGCUUGAUGUUGUCCCAGAGGUCUCUGAAAUUGUCCUCGUUUCUUUUUACUCUUUUUUUCUGUUCCACCUCGGUGAUUUCCACUAUUGUCUUGUGGGUCACUAAUUUGUUCCUCUCUAUCGUUUAAUCUGCUGUUGAUUCCUUCUACUGUAUUUUUAGGUUCAGUUAUUGUAUUCAUCUGUUUGGCUCUUCUCUGUAUUUUCUGACUCUUUGUUCGAAACUUCUAACUUCUGUAUCUGUAUUCAUCCGUUCUUCUCCCGAGCUGUUUGAUCGUCCUUGUGAUCAUUACCUUGAACCUUUAUUGGCUAGACUGUCUGUCUCCAUUUCACUUCUUCUGUGGUUUUAUCUUGUUCCUUCACUUGUAACACAUUCCUCUGUUUCCUCAUUUUGCCUAAUUUGCUGUUUUUAUUUCUAUGUAUCUGGUAGGUUGGUUACAUUUUCUGACCCUGGAAAAGUGGCCUUUUGUAGGAGACGUCCUGUGCAUCCCAGCAGUGCACUCACCUCUGGUCAGCAGAGCUGUAUGUAUGCUGUAGGGGUGCCCCCUAUGUGGGCUGCCUGGGUUCUCCUGUUGUGGUCAGCUGACUGCUGCUGGCAGUCUAGUAGGUACGGCUGGCCCCUGGUCCAGUUCGUUGCCAGGCUGCUGGUUGGUAGGGCUGGGUCCUGAGACAGUUGGCUGUGGAAUCUCAGAGUGUCCUGGGGCUAGGGCUGGCCCACUGGUGGGCAGAGCUGCGUUCUGGGGGUGGGGACUGGGGUUCCCAGAUCUAGUGUUGACCUGCUGGUGGGCAGGGCCAUGCCCCAGGGGGUCCUGGUGUGUGGGGCUGGUCCUGGGGUUAGUGUUGGCAGUCUGGUGGGCAGAGCUGGAUCCUGGUGUCCGGCUGCAGGGAUUGGGGGUCCUGGAGCUGGUGCUGGUCCACUGGUGGGUGGGUCCCAGGGCUAGUGUUGGCACACUGUGUAUGGGGUUAGUUCUUGGGCCCUCUGGACAGGGCUGUGUCCCUGGGCAGCUGUGGGCUUAGGGGGUCCUAAGGCAGCAGCCCUGCUGGUGGGUGGGUCUGUAUCCCCACGCUGUUAGUUGCGUGGCCUGAGGUGUCCCAGUGCUAUUCCUGACAGGCUGACUGGCAGAGCAGCUAAGAAGCUAGAGAGGAUUCCAAAAUGGUGCUUGCCAGCUCUGGUGUUCUCCUGGUAGACAAGCUCCCCAAAAUGGCUGCCACAGUGUCUGUGACCCCAGUGUGAGUUCCAGUUGCCUCCUGCCUUUCUGGAAGGCUCUCCAAGAUCAGCAGUGGUAGAAGAUCUUUUCUGCUGGAUUCCAGUCUCUCUCAUCAGCAGUGGCUCUGCAAACAGUUGUAAUUUUGUUGUGCCCACGAGAGGAGGCAGCUGCAGUCAAGUUCUGACUUAAGGUCAGAGAAUUCUGGAGUGAGGAGACGGCAGAAUGAUGGAGAAGCUCUUAGCCUGCAACCUGCAAUCCUUUCUGUAAACCGCUUGCUGCCGCUCUCUGCUGUGGCCCCGCCAGCUUGGCGUCCCUCUUCCUGCACAGUUUCCCCAGGUAGCAUCACACACGACUGUCUGGGAGAACGACAUGGAAUCAGGCGUGAUCCCGCUUCCCAAGUCCCAUGUGGAUUCGGUACUUUAUCCUAGUUUGGUCUCCGCUGACUGGCUGUACAUUGGCAAGUGAUCUUUUCUCCUCAGCUUAUGUUCUCAUAACUACCCACCAUGUUGGUGGUCUGGCAUUUAGCAGAUCUUCAGUUUGAAUGAGUUAAAAACUAGGCUUUGAGAAGGCUGCGUUCAGCCUGGGCCUUUCCUGCUCCUUCCCUUACUUUGAGAAACCACAGUGGAACACGUGGAUCCCCACGUAGCUCUUUCUUUUAUCUUCUCCCCUCACUGCACCCACCUCACCACUUGUCCUCCAGAAGCAGCUAGGAUAGCUCAGUUUGCGGGUAAAUGUUAUAAUUGGAGGGGAAAAAAAACCCACUUGAUACUAACCUUGUUAAAUGUCUACUCAAUUCGUGAACUUCCAUUUCAGUGCUUUUAAAUUCAUUGAGCUCCUUCCGAAUGGCAGCCUGCAAGGAAGAGAAGCCCAUGAGAGUGCAGAGGAUGGAAAGCAGCUCACCUUCUUUUAUUCCUAAGCUUUCUUUCUUCGACAAAGCCAUACACGUGCAUAAAACGGAUUCUUCCACCGGGAGAAACAAAAUCACCUGAGGUCUCCUUUAGAGCCUGUGCAGAGUCCCGUCCCCCUAAAUCUAAGUUGCGAGCACUCCGAUUUGGGAUCCUGCCCAGAGCUGUUCCACCUGGGCAGCGCGAGGGCCCUUCCACCUGGCCCACACUCCUGGGUCCUGAGUGCACAUAUCUUUCUUUGGUGAAUCUAAGCUCAUCAGAGGCACAGCGACACCUCGGGAUGGAUACUUCUAGAGGAGGUGUGUGAAAUUCCCCAACCAAACGAAGGGGUGACGGCCAGCUGCCCCCUUUCCCUUUGACUCAUGAAGCCUUGGCUCCUUUACAAGUCUGUUGACUCUGAGGUGAUAUAUUUCACCAUGGAGGGUAUGGAAUGUGUUUUGAAUAACCUCAAACACGCAUGAGAUAAACCUGAAUGACCUCGUCCUCACAGUCACAGAUGUGGCCAUCGUCUGGGGCCACCGAGAAGGCGGAAGGAGGACUGGAGCAAAAGAACGUCUGGGGUUGGAGAAAACCUUACCUCUUCCUCGGGGCUGAAAAUUUAAACGUGGGCCCAUUCCCAUAGCUCUUUCUAAGGUUGAUACGUGCUUUGAUGGGAAGAUAAUCAGGGCACGGAGAGUCUGAGGAUGGAAAAGUCUUUUUUUUCCAUUCAUCCAAAAAACUUCUAUUGUGUGCAGUUGUACUGUGCUAGGUGUAUUAUGCAAAGAGGAAUCAGAAAAGUUGCCACUGUUUGAGAGUUGACAGUCUAACAGAAGACAUAAGUGCAUAAAUAAUAAUUUAUAAAAUGAUAGGCAUCUCUAGAAAGGAACAGAUAAAACAAUUUCUACUUCAAGUUGGUCGUCCAUUUUUGGAGAGCCAGUUAAGAUGCCACCCCUCAGUCAGACUGCUUGUAUAAGUAAGAUUAAGGGCAAGGCAGAAAGCAAUUUAAUACUUCUUGUUUUUGUGUAUGUGAGAAUUUUUAUGAUUAUGAAAGUAAUGCGUAAGAUUAAGGGCAAGGCAGAAAGCAAUUUAAUACUUCUUGUUUUUGUGUAUGUGAGAAUUUUUAUGAUUAUAAAAGUAAUGCGUGAGAAAAUGGGCAAGGGACUUGAACAGACAUUCACAAAAGGCCAGUCAACAUAUGCAAAGGGGCUUGAGCUCAUCAGAAAACAGGGAAAUGCAACUAACCGUCCUGAGAAACCACUACACACCCACCCAAAAGGGCUAAGAUGAUACCACGUGUUCACCGAAAUAGGCAACGAUGAGAACUCUCAUAAGCUGCUGGUGAGCGUGUAAAUUCAUACAAUCACUUUGGGACACUCUUUGGCAUUACUACUAAAGCAGUGAACCCUCUCCACACUGCAGGACACACAUAUUCUGCUUCUAGAUUCAACCUCAGCAGAAACGUGUGCACUCGUGAAUGAAAAGACAUGGAAAAAGAAUGUUCAUAGCAGCAUUUUCAUCACAGCAGCGCUGUCAGUCAACAGUAAAGCAGGUAGCUACAUUUUGGAAGACUCGUAACUCUAAAUACUAUGGUAUUUCUCUUUACAGUCCUCUUUGUGCGUAUUUUAUAUUAAAGAUACACACUCUGUACUCUUCCAAUAAAAAUGUAAUAACACAAGUGUUUCUU